AGCUCAAAUAGCGUAUAUUAAAAUUGUUGCGGUUAAAAACCUCGUAGUUGGAUUUCUGCCGAGGACGACCGGUUCGCCCUCUGGGUGAGUAUCUGGCUCGGCCUGGGCAUCUUCUUGGAGAACGUAUCUGCACUUGACUUGUGGUGCGGUAUCCAGGACUUUUACUUUAAGGAAAUUAGAAUGUUUCAAGCAGGCAUACGCCUUGAAUACAUUAGCAUGAAAUAAUAAGAUAGGACCUCGGUUCUAUUUUGUUGGUUUCUAGAGCUGAGGUAAUGAUUAAUAGGGAUAGUUGGGGGCAUUCGUAUUAAUUGUCAAAGGCGAAAUUCUUGGAUUUGUUAAAGACGGACUACUGCGAAAGCAUUUGCCAAGGAUGUUUUCA
This 379-nucleotide ribosomal RNA is filed under the name uncultured eukaryote. RNAcentral's name for it is "SSU rRNA". It matches the Rfam family "Eukaryotic small subunit ribosomal RNA", at positions 587 to 972 of the family's 1831-position model. The record is from RNAcentral.